RNAcentral lists this small RNA (2706 nucleotides) under Pan troglodytes (chimpanzee). RNAcentral describes it as "retained intron". Lineage: Eukaryota; Metazoa; Chordata; Mammalia; Primates; Hominidae. The record is from RNAcentral.
CACGUGAUCCCACAACUACUAGGCGAAUGGGCUGGAGUUGCCCUUCACGCACCAGAAUGUCAGGCACCAAACCCUGGCACCUCCAGGCUUCACCAUGCUCACUGUCUCCAUGCUCAAGUCAUCUGGACCCUCAGCCAUAGUUCUCUAUCAUCUCCUCUGUGCUGUUUUCUAAGUUCACAACUGUCUUCCCAAGCUGUUCAUCUUGGUGAGCAAUCCACAUUCCAACUUCCCAUCAUGGUGAACAAGGAUUCCCAAAGAAGAAAUGUCCAAGUAAUUUUUACCUCGUUGUGUCCUUGUUCCUUAGGAAAAAUAUGGCCCAGUGUAACUGUGAUCUUCAUCUUAUCUCUUCUAGAAUCUGCCACUUUGUCUAGGCCCACAGUCAUGGCCCUGGUAGAAAUGCUUGCAUCUUCCACUGAGACGGAUUCUGCUUCCUGUUUGCAAGUGACCUUGCCUCUAGCAUUGGUUCCUGACUUGAAUCUUUUUGCCAGCAUUACAUCCUGUGGCUUUUUGAAUUUGUGGCCUUUUGAAUCACAGUCUCUGUGCUCGGAGACUCUUUAGUUACUCCCUGUCCGUAGUCUCUUCCAGUCCCUCUGCCUCUUGCCCUGAUCCUUCUGCAGUAGAUUGGCUCAACGAUCCCCUCUCCCAAAAACCGUGUAGAUGGCAUGAGUUUUUGCUUUCCUUACUGUAUCUGUGUACUUUUGCCUCCAAGUAGGAAGGUGACAAUUUUCUCUUAAUACCAUCCUUUCAAAGGGAAUGAUUAUUCCACUUCUGUUUCAUGAUGGCCACUAGUGUAUGCCCCCAUUUGGUGAUUCAUAAUAUAACAGGAAUACCUGGAAUGUAGCAACGUGCGCUUGAAGGUCCACUCUGAGCUCUGGAGGCACUUUCUGUCUCCUGUGACCCUCAAUAGAACUCAGUUCCUAUGAGUCCCUAUAGGAGCAGAGGCCCUGGCUCACCCUUGCACGGGUGGUGGGCACACUUCCCCAUCACACAGAGGUGCUUUUCUCACUAAUUCUGUCUUAUUUUGCAGAGUCCAACUUAGGUCUAGAAAUCAGCAUUCACUGUCCAUGUCACACCUUUCAGCCCAAUGGAGAUAUCCUGGAAAACAUUCACGAGGUGAUGGAAAUCAAAUUCAAAGGCGUGGACAAUGAGGAUGACCAUGGCCGUGGAGAUCUGGGGCGCCUCAAGAAGCAGAAGGAUCACCACAACCCUCAUCUAAUCCUCAUGAUGAUUCCCCCACACCGGCUCGACAACCCGGGCCAGGGGGGUCAGAGGAAGAAGCGGGCCUUGGACACCAAUUACUGCUUCCGCAACUUGGAGGAGAACUGCUGUGUGCGCCCCCUCUACAUUGACUUCCGACAGGAUCUGGGCUGGAAGUGGGUCCAUGAACCUAAGGGCUACUAUGCCAACUUCUGCUCAGGCCCUUGCCCAUACCUCCGCAGUGCAGACACAACCCACAGCACGGUGCUGGGACUGUACAACACUCUGAACCCUGAAGCAUCUGCCUCGCCUUGCUGCGUGCCCCAGGACCUGGAGCCCCUGACCAUCCUGUACUAUGUUGGGAGGACCCCCAAAGUGGAGCAGCUCUCUAACAUGGUGGUGAAGUCUUGUAAAUGUAGCUGAGACCCCACCUGCGACAGAGAGAGGGGAGAGAGAACCACCACUGCCUGACUGCCCGCUCCUCGGGAAACACACAAGCAACAAACCUCACUGAGAGGCCUGGAGCCCACAACCUUCGGCUCCGGGCAGAUGGCUGAGAUGGAGGUUUCCUUUUGGAACAUUUCUUUCUUGCUGGCUCUGAGAAUCACGGUGGUAAAGAAAGUGUGGGUUUGGUUAGAGGAAGGCUGAACUCUUCAGAACACACAGACUUUCUGUGACGCAGACAGAGGGGAUGGGGAUAGAGGAAAGGGAUGGCAAGUUGAGAUGUUGUGUGGCAAUGGGAUUUGGGCUACCCUAAAGGGAGGAGGAAGGGCAGAGAAUGGCCGGGUCAGGGCCAGACUGGAAGACACUUCAGAUCUGAGGUUGGAUUUGCUCAUUGCUGUACCACAUCUGCUCUAGGGAAUCUGGAUUAUGUUAUACAAGGCAAGCAUUUUUUUUUUUUUUAAAGACAGGUUACGAAGACAAAGUCCCAGAAUUGUAUCUCAUACUGUCUGGGAUUAAGGGCAAAUCUAUUACUUUUGCAAACUGUCCUCUACAUCAAUUAACAUCGUGGGUCACUACAGGGAGAAAAUCCAGGUCAUGCAGUUCCUGGCCCAUCAACUGUAUCGGGCCUUUUGGAUAUGCUGAACGCAGAAGAAAGGGUGGAAAUCAACCCUCUCCUGUCUGCCCUCUGGGUCCCUCCUCUCACCUCUCCCUCGAUCAUAUUUCCCCUUGGACACUUGGUUAGACGCCUUCCAGGUCAGGAUGCACAUUUCUGGAUUGUGGUUCCAUGCAGCCUUGGGGCAUUAUGGGUUCUUCCCCCACUUCCCCUCCAAGACCCUGUGUUCAUUUGGUGUUCCUGGAAGCAGGUGCUACAACAUGUGAGGCAUUCGGGGAAGCUGCACAUGUGCCACACAGUGACUUGGCCCCAGACGCAUAGACUGAGGUAUAAAGACAAGUAUGAAUAUUACUCUCAAAAUCUUUGUAUAAAUAAAUAUUUUUGGGGCAUCUUGGAUGAUUUCAUCUUCUGGAAGAUUGUUUCUAGAACAGUAAAAGCCUUAUUCUAAGGUG